This 124-nucleotide microRNA precursor is filed under the name Leersia perrieri. RNAcentral describes it as "pre miRNA MIR168". It matches the Rfam family "MIR168 microRNA precursor family". The record is from Rfam by way of RNAcentral. Lineage: Eukaryota; Viridiplantae; Streptophyta; Magnoliopsida; Poales; Poaceae.
UCGCGGCCCGCCUCUGGUUCGCUUGGUGCAGGUCGGGAAACGCCAUUGAUCGAUCGGCUGUCUCAGCUUAAUUCGCUCGUGCGUGUCCCGCUUUGCACCAACUGAAUCGGAGACGGCAACGCGC